RNAcentral lists this ribosomal RNA (520 nucleotides) under uncultured Glomus. RNAcentral's name for it is "SSU rRNA". It matches the Rfam family "Eukaryotic small subunit ribosomal RNA", at positions 569 to 1090 of the family's 1831-position model. Lineage: Eukaryota; Fungi; Glomeromycota; Glomeromycetes; Glomerales; Glomeraceae. The record is from RNAcentral.
AGCAGCCGCGGUAAUUCCAGCUCCAAUAGCGUAUAUUAAAGUUGUUGCAGUUAAAAAGCUCGUAGUUGAAUUUCGGGGUUAGCAGGUCGGUCGUGCCAUCGGUAUGAACUGGUCUCGCUGAUCCCUCCCUCUUGACGAACCGUGAUGCCAUUAAUUUGGUGUCGCAGGGAAUCAGGACUGUUACUUUGAAAAAAUUAGAGUGUUUAAAGCAGGCUUACGCUUGAAUACAUUAGCAUGGAAUAAUGAAAUAGGACGUUUGAUCCUAUUUUGUUGGUUUCUAGGAUUGACGUAAUGAUUAAUAGGGAUAGUUGGGGGCAUUAGUAUUCAAUUGUCAGAGGUGAAAUUCUUGGAUUUAUUGAAGACUAACUACUGCGAAAGCAUUUGCCAAGGAUGUUUUCAUUAAUCAAGAACGAAAGUUAGGGGAUCGAAGACGAUCAGAUACCGUCGUAGUCUUAACCAUAAACUAUGCCGACUAGGGAUCGGAUGAUGUUAAUUUUUUAAUGACUCAUUCGGCGCCUUA